Molecule: small RNA, 148 nt
Filed under: Procavia capensis (Cape rock hyrax)
Lineage: Eukaryota; Metazoa; Chordata; Mammalia; Hyracoidea; Procaviidae
Description: 7SK RNA (ENSPCAG00000020498.1)
Source: RNAcentral
UCCUUCUGAGGUUGCUCACUUAAUCAAAGAGGAUGAAUGUCCCAGAGAGACAGGAACAGUGCUUUGACCAAGCAAAUAACAGUAGCUGUGCUCCUAAACUAGACCAUCCAAGAAGCUCAUGAGCUCUUUUCCAGACUAGCAUCCCAUC